This 408-nucleotide ribosomal RNA is filed under the name uncultured bacterium. RNAcentral's name for it is "partial 16S ribosomal RNA". It matches the Rfam family "Bacterial small subunit ribosomal RNA", at positions 28 to 526 of the family's 1533-position model. The record is from RNAcentral.
GACGAACGCUGGCGGCGUGCUUAACACAUGCAAGUCGAACGAAGUGGCGAACGGGUGAGUAACGCGUAAUCAACCUGCCCUUCAGAGGGGGACAACAGUUGGAAACGACUGCUAAUACCGCAUACUGAAGGACGGGAAUGCGUGUGAUUAGCUAGUUGGAGGGGUAACGGCCCACUAAGGUGAUGAUCAGUAGCCGGUCUGGGGGGAGGAACGGCCACAUCUGGACUGAACAACGGCCCAGACUCCUACGGGAGGCAGCAGUGGGGAAACUUCCGCAAUGGACGGAAGUCUGACGGAGCAACGCCGGGUGAGUGAUGACGGCCUUCGGGUUGGAAAGCUCUGUUAAUCGGGACGCGUUACCGGAAUAGAAAGCCACGGCUAACUACGUGCCAGCAGCCGCGGUAAUUC